ACAAAACAAAAAAAUCACAGCAGAGGAUGUCAGCAACAUGGUGGAGUGACUGUUCCCUUUUUUUUCCCCUCCUUUUGAGCUGCAGCUAAAUGGGCAUUCAUUGACCAACGGAGGAAGCCCACACAGCACAAUAGGAUGCCUGAGAGAUGCACGCAGCUAUACCUCUGAGGAUGGAUGGAUUGGCACCCCCAGGAAGUGGCGGAGAUAGACAUUGGCCCGUGCACUUCUGUUUUAAGCAAAAGUAAGAUUUAUUGGAAAGAUGCUGGAGUUGAUCAUGGAAUCGCAGAGGACUGAGAGAUCAAUCCUCGGACAGUGCAGUAGCAGCAGCUGUUCUCUCAUAGACUCUUUUUCCUCAUACAGAAAGGCUGGCUGCCAGCAGCUUCCACAACCACACCCUCUAGCUCAGUUCCUAGGAGAGAGCACUCCCCUUCUUGCCAUCUCCAGCCAGGAAAAACUCAUGGAUGGACUCUGCCUGGUUUAGCUUAACUCACAAGUCCAUCUGCAGACCCGUUACCCGGUCUUGAGACAGAGGCACUAUGAUCCCACGUUGUGAAUUGUAAAAUGUAACCAUUAGGAAGUAGACUUCAAAUGCUCGUAUCAUAUUAUAAUACUAUGCAUAUUUGUGUUUAUAGAAGGAAACACAUUUGAAAUAUAGAGAAGCAGAACAGUGUGUUUUCUCAUCAGUUCUUCUUUGGGCAAAAUAAGCAUAAUCUGACUAAAUCUGCAUUUCUAACCUGCGCUGUCACCUUGCUCUUACACCUUAACAAGCAAACUAUAUGAGAAGAAUGAUCAGCAAUAGAAGCAAGAUGAUUUUCUUUUGGUCCAAAACUUUGUACCUGGUGAUAUUCUAUGCCAUGAAAAGAAUCAUGCUUAAUAAUUCAUUUGUCAGCUGUGUUAGGCACUGUGGAAGAUUCCAAACAGCAUGAAAUCUAACCUCUGCCUUCAGAGAGCUUAACAGUUUUCUGUGGCAGGGAAAUUAGAGUACAUCUGUGAAAACAUAUUAGUAUAGGACAGAACAGAAAAUUUCUUAGACUCUAACAAAUGUUUUAAUUCCAGGUGUACUCAGGAAGAUAGUAGCAUUUUUGGAUGUCUACUAUGAAGAGAAAAGUAUGUACUGAGAUGGGUUUUAUAGGCAGUAAACAUUACAGUCCUUGUCUUCAAGACAUUUGAAACAUACAACAUGCUCACAUUAGCUAAAUAUGCUUACUUCAAAUGCCUAUACUUAUGUCACAUGACUGUGAAGUUAUCAACCUGGUUUCAAAAGCCAUACACAAAAAUCAAAUCAGGUAAUGUGUGUAAAAGUUCAUUGUUAACUGUAGUACCAUACAAACUGAGGUGAUAUUACCGUGAUCAUAUCUUCCAUUUUAUUGUUCAUGAUGGAAGCUGGCCUACUUGUGGAGAAGAAUGGGCCCAUUAUUCCUGUUUGGGAAAAUAAAUGGAAUAAUAAAGAAGACUCAAAACCAAAUGAAAUGCCAUUCCAUACACAUUUUGAAAAAGUUUAUAGAGUAAUUUAAGCAUGAAGAGCUAUUCUAAGCAUAAUAAUAAACUGUAAAGAAUAUUGUUUCCUUUCCAAGAUUCACUUUUCCAAGAUGGCUCAAAUGUGAAAGUCUCUUUUGGAGUUUAUGUAUAGUUCUUUAAAUUGGCACAUUUGGCCUAAAGCAAGAGGAAAAACUGAGUACAAUGUACCAUUUUGUCAAGCAGGGCAGAGCCUUGAAUGGAGGAUUAAGUGGGUAGGGCUCCAUGGAAGAAAUAGGACAUAUUCUUUGCUAUUCAGAGAUAUCCUAUGGGUUGAUGAAAUUAUAUUUACUUUAACAAGCCUUGCUUAAUACUGCACGUUCACAAUUACCUUCCACUUGUACAGCAUGUUGCUCAGGAAGAAAUCUAUUCCUAUCCUUAAUGUUCCAGUCUCUCUUUCCUUGUUUUAACUAUAUUCUAAAUAAUUUAUAAAUAUUUUGUUGCUGGUGAAUUGUUUUCUUUUUCGGCCCUUCAGUAUAGGCAUAGCUUAAUACUGGCUAUAUUUCCAUUUGCCUUUUUUCUUUGUUUCUCAUUGGUCCAUAUCAGACCUAAGCUUCAAUUUUCUUUUCCUUCAGCCACAGAUAUCCUAGUGUAUAAUAUUUCCUUCUGGAUUCUAUCAAAUGUAACCCUACUUAAUCACACCUUCAUCUUGGUCAUUACCCCAGGCCACCAUACUCUAUAUCAGUUUUAUGAGUAUUUUCUGGUCUGAAGGGCAUUUGUUUUACUCAGGCACAGGAGAUUCUGUCUUCUAUGAAUGUUAUGAGUUUUAACAUGAUGUAGAAACCGUGAUGCUAACUGACAUUACACAGAACUUUACAGGUUACUCAGCCUCUCACAGACAGGCGUUUAUUUGGUCCUUUCAAACUCUUGGGGUGGGAUUUAUCAUCUCCAAUUUCCUCAUGAGGAAAUGGAAGUUCAGUGAGAGAUUGUGCACAGGCCUAUGGUAGCUGGUAAACGGUAGAAUUGGGGCUGAGAUUGGGUUUCCUCACUCCAUGCCCAUUGCGCUUUCCAUCGUAUUACAAGCCAUUCUGCUUAGGAGGGAUUUAGGGCUUAUAUAGCAAAUAAUAUUUUUCAGGGAAUCUGUUUACAACAACAAAAAAUUUUUCUCUCCAAAAUGUUCAUGCCUGGCCUGGAUAAACAUGAGCUCCCACUGCCCACCAUUGCCUCUAGGAUUUACUUUAUAGCUUUGUUUCAAAUACAAACUGAGUUUUCAUUAUUCUUCCUUACAGUUAAUCUCUUUACACACUGCCCUAGGAAUCACUUUUAAAAUUGACAGGAGUUUAGCUGGAGUCUCUCUUCUGUGAUGGGAAUUCCAUUCCCAAAGAACUAGAGCAAUAUUUCUUAAUUGAAUAUUUACUGUAAUGAUCAAGAAGGAGUCAGUUGGUCCUGUUUGCUUUAUUUUCAUUGUAAGCUAAAGAUUUGGAUGGUAUUUCCAUGAUUUAUUGAGAACUGCACCAAGAUUCUCAGUAUUCAAUAAACAUAGUUAAGAAGUAGAGGAAAGACAUAUAUUUUUCAUCAUACACACAACUCUAAAUGUUUAGGCCAAAGGCACAUAUUUUUAGGACCUUACAAAAGUAGAUACAUUUUUAAUGGGUUCAAGUAACAAAUAUAAAUUCUAUCUCUCUAUUACCUGAAUAUCUUAACUGUUUGGAGGUUUUAUUAUCGGAAACUGCCAAAUAACAUGCAUAUAUCAUUUUAGUUGAAACUUAAGCCUGGCAGUUUUAUUGAGAAAAAUGGAUUUUAAGUUAUUUUUCAUACAUAAAGGUUGCUAAGCCUAUGCUUAAUUGGUGAAGAUAUGGAUGACCUUAUCUCCAUGCUUCAAGGAAAAAAUAAAACCUCACUAUCUUAUAUCCUCGAGAUUUGGCAAAAGAUGAUCAAUUAACUGUCUAAAAAUCUGUAAUAAAAUGACUGUAGGGAGUAAAACAAACUGAAUUGUGUCCAAUUCAGCUCAUUAAAAUAUGUAUGACCCUGUGCCAGAGAUGUCUGUGGCAAUCCAGCCUUUGAUUCUAUUUAUGGAGAUGUUACCCUCGUGUGGCUCCAGUCCCUGUGCAGAAACAUAAUGUGGUCAUAUCUUUUGUGGUUCCUAAUUCAUGUGAGAUUAGUCGUUCAUAUUCUUAAGUCAUCUCUGAAGAUAAAAGUCAGAGUUCAAAAUCUAUGUUUUGAUGAAGCAAGGAUGGAGACAUAAUCAUGAUAAAAUUGAACAUAUUAUCCUAGGAUCAUGAUUUAAAAGAUUUGAGAACUCUUCCUGACACCAGUGGGUUCAUUGGUAUCUCUUGUCGUCAUAGGAGACUUUGUACAGAUCCAGAAAG
Molecule: long non-coding RNA, 3824 nt
Filed under: Equus caballus (horse)
Lineage: Eukaryota; Metazoa; Chordata; Mammalia; Perissodactyla; Equidae
Description: lncRNA (ENSECAG00000048883.1)
Source: RNAcentral